UACGUAGGGUGCGAGCGUUGUCCGGAAUUAUUGGGCGUAAAGCGCGCGCAGGCGGUCUCUUAAGUCUGAUGUGAAAGCCCACGGCUCAACCGUGGAGGGUCAUUGGAAACUGGGGGACUUGAGUACUGGAGAGGAGAGUGGAAUUCCAUGUGUAGCGGUGAAAUGCGUAGAUAUUGGGAGGAACACCAGUGGCGAAGGCGGCUCACUGGACCGGAACUGACGCUGAGGCGCGAAAGCGUGGGGAGCAAACAGG
RNAcentral lists this ribosomal RNA (253 nucleotides) under uncultured bacterium. RNAcentral describes it as "partial 16S ribosomal RNA". It matches the Rfam family "Bacterial small subunit ribosomal RNA", at positions 524 to 776 of the family's 1533-position model. The record is from RNAcentral.